RNAcentral lists this ribosomal RNA (253 nucleotides) under uncultured prokaryote. RNAcentral's name for it is "partial 16S ribosomal RNA". It matches the Rfam family "Bacterial small subunit ribosomal RNA", at positions 524 to 776 of the family's 1533-position model. The record is from RNAcentral.
UACGGAGGAGGCAAGCGUUAUCCGGAAUUAUUGGGCGUAAAGCGUCCGUAGGUGGCUGCUCAAGUCUGCGGUCAAAGACCGGGGCUUAACCCUGGAAAGGCCGUGGAAACUGAGCAGCUAGAGUGCAGUAGGGGUAGAGGGAAUUCCCGGUGUAGCAGUGAAAUGCGUAGAUAUCGGAAGGAACAUCAGUGGCGAAGGCGACUUCCUGGACAGAUACUGACACUGAGGCACGAAAGCGUGGGGAGCAAACAGG